RNAcentral lists this ribosomal RNA (608 nucleotides) under uncultured fungus. RNAcentral describes it as "eukaryotic LSU rRNA". The stretch from base 239 to 392 matches the Rfam family "5.8S ribosomal RNA". Lineage: Eukaryota; Fungi. The record is from RNAcentral.
UUGGUCAUUUAGAGGAAGUAAAAGUCGUAACAAGGUCUCCGUUGGUGAACCAGCGGAGGGAUCAUUACUGAGUUAUCAAACUCCAAACCAAUGUGAAUCUUACCACUGUUGCUUCGGCUGCCGCUCUAGUCGGGGAGGUGUUUCUACUCCUCCGCGCUUGAGCAAUGAGUGCAGCCGAAGGCAUUUUACUAUCAGUUAUAUUGUAUUCUUUUCUGAGUCGGUUUUACAAAUAAAUCAAAACUUUCAACAACGGAUCUCUUGGUUCUGGCAUCGAUGAAGAACGCAGCGAAAUGCGAUAAGUAAUGUGAAUUGCAGAAUUCAGUGAAUCAUCGAAUCUUUGAACGCACAUUGCGCCCGCCAGUAUUCUGGCGGGCAUGCCUGUCCGAGCGUCAUUUCAACCCUCGAGAACAUUUUAAUUUUCUCGGUGUUGGAGAUCGACAACACUCUUGUCGUCUCCCAAAUCUAGUGGCGGUCUGGCCGAGUUCCUCUGCGCAGUAAUUAACUCUCGCAGGUGGAAGGAGGUCAGUGCCAGCCGUGAAAACCCCAACUUCACAAGGUUGACCUCGGAUCAGGUAGGGAUACCCGCUGAACUUAAGCAUAUCAAUAAG